AGUGACGUCACCUCUUCCUGCUUCCUCCAUCUGGCGGGGCCACGUUCCUGCGUGUCCCCAACUGUCACCCGGGCGUGUUUGUCACCCAGACUAUCCCCAGAGCUUCCUCAGAGUGUUCCCAAGGUGUCCCUGGAGUGUCUCUAGUGACCAUGGAGACCCAAGAGGUGAUAACAGUGACACAAACCUGAGAAGAAUUUAUCAAUUGAUCAGGGGGUGUGAAAAAACAGGAUGGAACCAGGAGAAGAAAUCAAAUAUAUUGACCGGUAUCUACAGAAUGUCCCGCAGACAAGUCGGAGGUUAAAACCAAACAAGAGUUCCUGAAACAUCCAAACCUCCCAGGAAUAUUUGAAGAAUGUCUAAACUCAGGAAUGUGUUUGUAGCCCUGCGGUGGAUGCAGAUCUGGAGAACAAUGGGUUAAGUUACAGGCGAGUUGUUUGGCCCACUGCCAAAAUCCUUUAUAUCCCUUAUUAAACUUCUACAAUUUCCAAA
This is a long non-coding RNA of Passer domesticus (house sparrow), 489 nucleotides long. RefSeq lists it as uncharacterized. NCBI's taxonomy places the organism in Eukaryota, Metazoa, Chordata, Aves, Passeriformes, Passeridae. The transcript is spliced from 2 exons. The record is from RefSeq and is a predicted model, not a curated record.